Molecule: transfer RNA, 58 nt
Filed under: Salmo salar (Atlantic salmon)
Lineage: Eukaryota; Metazoa; Chordata; Actinopteri; Salmoniformes; Salmonidae
Rfam family: tRNA
About the family: Transfer RNA (tRNA) molecules are approximately 80 nucleotides in length. Their secondary structure includes four short double-helical elements and three loops (D, anti-codon, and T loops). Further hydrogen bonds mediate the characteristic L-shaped molecular structure. tRNAs have two regions of fundamental functional importance: the anti-codon, which is responsible for specific mRNA codon recognition, and the 3' end, to which the tRNAs corresponding amino acid is attached (by aminoacyl-tRNA synthetases). tRNAs cope with the degeneracy of the genetic code in two manners: having more than one tRNA (with a specific anti-codon) for a particular amino acid; and 'wobble' base-pairing, i.e. permitting non-standard base-pairing at the 3rd anti-codon position.
Source: Rfam by way of RNAcentral
UGGUUCAGUUGGUAGAGCAUGGCGCUUGCAACGCCAGGGUUGUGGGUUCUAGUCCCAC